RNAcentral lists this unclassified non-coding RNA (336 nucleotides) under soil metagenome. RNAcentral's name for it is "partial contains 5.8S ribosomal RNA, internal transcribed spacer 2, and large subunit ribosomal RNA". The stretch from base 1 to 120 matches the Rfam family "5.8S ribosomal RNA", at positions 35 to 154 of the family's 154-position model. The record is from RNAcentral.
GAUGAAGAACGCAGCGAAAUGCGAUAAGUAAUGUGAAUUGCAGAAUUCAGUGAAUCAUCGAAUCUUUGAACGCACAUUGCGCCCGCCAGUAUUCUGGCGGGCAUGCCUGUUCGAGCGUCAUUUCAACCAUCAAGCCCCAGGCUUGUGUUGGGGACCUGCGGCUGCCGCAGGCCCUGAAAACCAGUGGCGGGCUCGCUGUCACACCGGGCGUAGUAGAUUUUAUCUCGCUCAGGGCGUGCUGCGGGUUCCGGCCGUUAAAAAGCCUUUUUUACCCAAGGUUGACCUCGGAUCAGGUAGGAAGACCCGCUGAACUUAAGCAUAUUAAUAAGCGGAGGA